GUGCAGCAGUCGCGAAACCUCCGCAAUGCGGGAAACCGUGACGGGGUCACCCCGAGUGCCACCCGCUGAGGGUGGCUUUUCCCCGGUCUAAAGAGCCGGGGGAAUAAGCGGGGGGCAAGACUGGUGUCAGCCGCCGCGGUAAUACCAGCCCCGCGAGUGGUCGGGACGUUUAUUGGGCCUAAAGCGUCCGUAGCCGGCCCGGUAAUUCCCUCCUUAAAGCCCACGGCUCAACCGUGGGAACGGAGGGAUAAUGCCGGGCUAGGGGGCGGGAGAGGCCGGGGGUACUCCCGGGGUAGGGGCGAAAUCCUGUAAUCCCGGGAGGACCGCCAGUGGCGAAGGCGCCCGGCUGGAACGCGCCCGACGGUGAGGGACGAAAGCUGGGGGAGCAAAGGGGAUUAGAUACCCGGGUAGU
This 412-nucleotide ribosomal RNA is filed under the name uncultured microorganism. RNAcentral describes it as "bacterial SSU rRNA". It matches the Rfam family "Archaeal small subunit ribosomal RNA", at positions 330 to 745 of the family's 1478-position model. The record is from RNAcentral.